RNAcentral lists this ribosomal RNA (253 nucleotides) under uncultured bacterium. RNAcentral's name for it is "partial 16S ribosomal RNA". It matches the Rfam family "Bacterial small subunit ribosomal RNA", at positions 524 to 776 of the family's 1533-position model. The record is from RNAcentral.
UACGGAGGGUGCAAGCGUUAUCCGGAUUUACUGGGUUUAAAGGGUGCGUAGGUGGGUUGGUAAGUCAGUGGUGAAAUACUUUCGCUUAACGAAGGAACUGCCAUUGAUACUAUCAGUCUUGAAUGUAGUGGAGGUAGGCGGAAUGCGUCAUGUAGCGGUGAAAUGCUUAGAUAUGACGCAGAACACCAAUUGCGAAGGCAGCUUGCUACACUACUAUUGACACUGAUGCACGAAAGCGUGGGGAUCAAACAGG